This 271-nucleotide long non-coding RNA is filed under the name Prunus persica (peach). RNAcentral's name for it is "long non-coding RNA (PPER_LNC000333)". The record is from RNAcentral. Lineage: Eukaryota; Viridiplantae; Streptophyta; Magnoliopsida; Rosales; Rosaceae.
UAGGACUAAUAAUAAAAAUCUUGUUAUUCAAGCUACUCAAUGGAUAAAUACCAAAUCAUGAAGUGGGAAAAUUUUAUGUAAAUCAUUCUAAGGGGCGGAUUUACUUGAAGGGCAGGCUGGGCUGUUGCCUGGCCCAAAAUUUUUCGUGAAAAAAAAAAAAAAAAAACGUAUCUUUAGUAGCCCACAUAAAAUUAAAACAAAUAAAAGCAGAGAGCUUCCAUUGAGGGAUCCCUCAAAUAAGCUUAUUUGAGGGACACCCCUUGUAGGCCCC